Molecule: ribosomal RNA, 239 nt
Filed under: uncultured bacterium
Lineage: Bacteria
Description: partial 16S ribosomal RNA
Rfam family: Bacterial small subunit ribosomal RNA
Source: RNAcentral
GCGUUGCUCGGAAUCACUGGGCGUAAAGGGCGCGCAGGCGGCCCUCCAAGUCAGGCGUGAAAGCCCCGGGCUCAACCCGGGAAUAGCGCUUGAGACUGGGGGGCUUGAGUUCGGGAGAGGAGAGUGGAAUUCCCAGUGUAGAGGUGAAAUUCGUAGAUAUUGGGAAGAACACCGGUGGCGAAGGCGGCUCUCUGGACCGACACUGACGCUGAGGCGCGAAAGCGUGGGGAGCAAACAGG